AAGUCGAGCGAGCGGAACAACAGAUUUACUUCGGUAAUGACGUUGGGAAAGCGAGCGGCGGAUGGGUGAGUAACACGUGGGGAACCUGCCCCUAAGUCUGGGAUACCAUUUGGAAACAGGUGCUAAUACCGGAUAAUAAAGCAGAUCGCAUGAUCAGCUUUUGAAAGGCGGCGUAAGCUGUCGCUAAGGGAUGGCCCCGCGGUGCAUUAGCUAGUUGGUAAGGUAACGGCUUACCAAGGCGACGAUGCAUAGCCGAGUUGAGAGACUGAUCGGCCACAUUGGGACUGAGACACGGCCCAAACUCCUACGGGAGGCAGCAGUAGGGAAUCUUCCACAAUGGACGCAAGUCUGAUGGAGCAACGCCGCGUGAGUGAAGAAGGUUUUCGGAUCGUAAAGCUCUGUUGUUGGUGAAGAAGGAUAGAGGUAGUAACUGGCCUUUAUUUGACGGUAAUCAACCAGAAAGUCACGGCUAACUACGUGCCAGCAGCCGCGGUAAUACGUAGGUGGCAAGCGUUGUCCGGAUUUAUUGGGCGUAAAGCGAGCGCAGGCGGAAAAAUAAGUCUAAUGUGAAAGCCCUCGGCUUAACCGAGGAACUGCAUCGGAAACUGUUUUUCUUGAGUGCAGAAGAGGAGAGUGGAACUCCAUGUGUAGCGG
This 654-nucleotide ribosomal RNA is filed under the name Lactobacillus amylovorus. RNAcentral's name for it is "bacterial SSU rRNA". It matches the Rfam family "Bacterial small subunit ribosomal RNA", at positions 59 to 681 of the family's 1533-position model. The record is from RNAcentral. Lineage: Bacteria; Bacillati; Bacillota; Bacilli; Lactobacillales; Lactobacillaceae.